Molecule: long non-coding RNA, 2177 nt
Organism: Carcharodon carcharias (great white shark)
Lineage: Eukaryota; Metazoa; Chordata; Chondrichthyes; Lamniformes; Lamnidae
Exons: 3
Source: RefSeq, a predicted model, not a curated record
GGCGAGGAACGGGAGGAUUCAAGAUUCACCAGCGAAAAGAGUCAAACUGGGCGAGGAGCUCACAGGGACCGUUUUACUCUCCAACAAGUCAAUAAGGGAGGUUUUUCCGAAGCAGAGAUGAAUGCAACUACAAAUUUACCGAGGAAUCACUGUAUUCGAUCCUGAUGCUCAAGGGCAGGAUUUCAAAGAAAAUGUUAUUUCAAACACUGUAGAGGCUAUCUUUAGGUCAACAGGAUGGAUGACCAAAGCCUUCCAAUACCAUGCCUGGCAGAUGGAAACCCAGAUGGUGAAUAUGGUGUUCCCAACAACAGUGUAGGAAAAACUUGCUGACAUCAAGAAAUCAUUACAGGAAGUCACAGAAUGCAUACAGUUCUCUGGACUGCAUUUCAUAAUGGAGGGGGCACCUUCUUUACAAAAAACAGUGAAAAAAAAUGAAAAUAAAACAGAGCAACAAGAAAAGCCAUGAUACUAGCAGUAAUAGCUGUGGAAGAAAUGUUGCGUAUUUUGCAGAUGCAACUGAUAGAGGUCACAUUUGAGGAAUUUCAUUGUAAAAUGGAACUAGUUGAAUAAAUAGGUUAUUACUACCAGCAGUUCUCCUAUUGCACUGCUCACAGUAUGUCAGAAGGAUACACUAUUUUAUAGUAAUAGGAAUAUUUUGGUAUGAAGUGAUUUUUCCCCCAUUUAUUUCAUCUACACGAUAUUGGUAUCACCAGCAAAUCCAGUACUUGGCAAAUCUCAACAUUAAAUACCCCUUCCGAGUGCUUAAUACGAUCACUAAAUGCCUAAAAAGUCAAAAUAUAUUCCACAUCCCAGCAUUACCACACCUUAGCAAGUAUUUAAAAAAACAUUCAAUCUCAACAUUCCUUAAAAAAAAUCCUGAAACAAUAUCUCAGAAUGUAUAUAACACUACUAACUGUUGGGUCUGACUGUGCAGAUUGCUCCAGUUUCACUUCUGAAAUAACACACCCAGCCAAUAUUAAUGUCCAGCCUUUGCACACCACAUAAUACGUUCCCAAUCUUUGACAUAAAACAGAAGCUGUCAUCGUGUCCCAUGACUUCUUGUUGAUACUUUUAGUCAAUGAAUUAAAAUGAGGAAAACUAUAACAAUUUUAAAUGGAAACUAUAUUGGUGUGCAGAAUGUAGAGCUGUUCUUAUGAGCACACUUGUGAAACCUUUUUCUUCUAAAUUCAUUAUAUUCUCAAUUGAAAGAUAGUGGGAGAAUCAACAACAAUGAACAAUCAAAUAAUAAGUCAGAAAAAAAUAUAUUUUACUGAAUUACACUAUAACCAUAAAUUCUUUUAAAAUGAUCUACCUUUGCACUUAUUUAUAAUAAUCGUUCUUUUUUUUAAACUUUCCGACUAGUGAUUGGAGCUAGUUUGGAAGCACACCUCUGAGGUAAAAACUCUUCCUUUGUGAAAGAGAACAAUCGAUUGUGGGCUGCACUCCCUACUGUGGCAUCAUGAAUAAGGACAGAACACCCCUUUCACGAUGUCAGAGCAAAGGAAGCUCCACACAAAAUCCCUGCUUGUAAACUGCCUUCAACCAACAUAAAACAGGAUGGAGAUACACAAAUAUAUGUAAGUGAUUAUGUGGUAAAUCAGUAGAAUAUUCGGCUCCAUUAAUUGUGGGGAAUAAAAGCUAUGAAUCAACACCGAGGAAAACCUCUUUACCCAGGCUGUAACUCCUGAGAGAAUCAGAAGAAUGGCUUGCAAAUGUAAGAACACAUAACUAUAUUGCAAUAUCAUAGGUUUCUUCAGGAAGAACAGUAAUAAAGCCAUCCAUCUGGCAGAAUACCUCUUAAUUUGGAUACAGCAGGACUAAUUUCGAUAGCUUUAGCUUAGGCAUGGUUUGUGACACUGAAGAGUAAAGUCAACGUUAAAUCUGACCUCCAGAGAAGCAACAAUGAAAUGAUGUGAUGCACAGAAAAGAAGCCAUGGCACCUGCACUAAUGGCUGUGGAAGAAAUAUUAUUUAUUUUGAAGAGGCAACUGUUGCACAUUUGAAGAAUUUCAUUGUAAAAUGGAUCUGGUUGAAUAAAUAGGUUAUUACUACCAACAGUUCUCCUGUUGGACAGCUCACAGUAGGUCAGAGGGAUAUACUGUUUUAUAGUAACACAAAUUUUUGUUAUGAAGUGAAUGCUUUUCUCAUUUUAUAUAAAAACAGAAAAUGCUGGAAAAA